RNAcentral lists this long non-coding RNA (1500 nucleotides) under Equus asinus (donkey). RNAcentral describes it as "lncRNA (ENSEASG00005026301.1)". Lineage: Eukaryota; Metazoa; Chordata; Mammalia; Perissodactyla; Equidae. The record is from RNAcentral.
AUGUUCUGCAACAAGUUAGGUGUGAAGGAAUUCUCUGAGUGACUUUACAGCAGUGGUUGUCAAUGUGUGCUGCUCACUGGGGUCUCUGGGGAGCUCUUAAAGUGCACUUCAGCCACACUCAGGCACUCUGCUCAGAGCCCCUGGGCAGGGAGGAGCCAGGAUCAGGGUUUUUCACCAGCCCAGGUGAUUCCAGUGUGCGUGCAGCUGAGACUGUCUCUGGGUCCAUGUCCUACUUGGCUGUGCGCUCCUGAGGGUGGAAAUGCUUCCUUCACGUCUGUGCAUCCCUUUCAGUACAGUGCCGAGGCAUGGUAGUCCACAAGAAAGGUUGUUUGUAUGAACAAAGGAAUAAACGGAUUAUCAUGCUUUUACCCACUUUUCAGUGAGGAAAUUGAGGGCUAAGAAGGUGAGAAAUCGGCGUGGGGAUAUAGGACUCAAAACAUCUGUGUGGAGACCCGAACCCAGGUUCAUCUAAUCUAAAAUUUGUGUUUGAUUCAAGUCGCUUUAAAAUUAUUGAGUAUUUACUACCGUAUCACUGAGUUACACAGAUUGUUUUAUCAUCACAUCCUUAUGACAUAGAUACUCAUUUCUCCAUUUUACCGAUGAGAAAAGUGAGGUUUCAAGAGUUGAGGACUUGCAGGGCCUUCACAGAGUGACCCCGGCAGCUGGAAGCUGACCGAACCGUGACCGUGCGUUGCCGCCGCCGGAGGCAGCCGAGGGCUUCCGCGGGGCGCGGUGGAGAGGACGCAGCGGAGGGCGCUGCCCAGCCCUGCGAUACGGGAGAGAUUCGGAGAGCAGAAGGCAUCUGGCAUCUCCGGAGACGGGACAGCGACAGGGCAGUUCCAGAAGUUUAUGAGAUAGCAGCAAGAACAAGUUUUCAAAACAACUUGACCAGAGUCACCAGCCUGUCGUCAACAGCUCCACAUUGCAACUCAAGUUUGAACCUUGAAGACGUGAACAGGCCCUUGCUUGCCGUUAUCCAGAGCCUUCUUCUUGGAUCACAGCCAAAAACUAGGGUGUUAGGUGGACACAGAUUGUGAUGGUCCUGGAUGGGAUUCAGAAUUAAAUGAAAGGCUUAGAAAGUUAAUGUAGCAGGUGAUAUUUUCUAAAUGACUGCAACAAUGUGCUCAUCUCACACGCUCUCCCAGUGUGACUUUAGCACUCCUUUCAAGGAAAGCUGGGGUUUAAGUCCUUUCCCCUUGAAUUUGGGUGGGGACUUGUGAUUGCCCCAACUAAGAGAGUAUGGUAGAAGUGAUGGUAGGUUAUGAAUAUAACUUCUGCCUGGCUUGCGGUUUUGGGACAUUGCUCUGGAGAAACCCAGACUAGCUCCUACAGAGAGAUGGCAUGAAGAGGAGCUGAGGCCUCUAGCCUCCAGCCGGAACCUUCACCAGACAUAAAUAAACACGGCUUCAUAUGAUUCCAGUCCCCAGCGAGGCCCCAGGCGUGUGGAGUCAUCUCUGCUGUGCUCUGUCCAAAUUCUAUGAGCAUAAUAAAAGGUUAUUU